GACGAACGCUGGCGGCGUGCUUAACACAUGCAAGUCGAACGGAAAGGCCCUUCGGGGUACUCGAGUGGCGAACGGGUGAGUAACACGUGGGUGAUCUGCCCUGCACUUUGGGAUAAGCCUGGGAAACUGGGUCUAAUACCGAAUAGGACCACGCGCUUCAUGGUGUGUGGUGGAAAGCUUUUGCGGUGUGGGAUGGGCCCGCGGCCUAUCAGCUUGUUGGUGGGGUAAUGGCCUACCAAGGCGACGACGGGUAGCCGGCCUGAGAGGGUGACCGGCCACACUGGGACUGAGAUACGGCCCAGACUCCUACGGGAGGCAGCAGUGGGGAAUGUUGCACAAUGGGCGCAAGCCUGAUGCAGCGACGCCGCGUGAGGGAUGACGGCCUUCGGGUUGUAAACCUCUUUCAAUAGGGACGAAGCGCAAGUGACGGUACCUAUAGAAGAAGCACCGGCCAACUACGUG
This 462-nucleotide ribosomal RNA is filed under the name uncultured bacterium. Its description in RNAcentral is "partial 16S ribosomal RNA". It matches the Rfam family "Bacterial small subunit ribosomal RNA", at positions 28 to 507 of the family's 1533-position model. The record is from RNAcentral.